This 899-nucleotide ribosomal RNA is filed under the name uncultured bacterium. RNAcentral's name for it is "bacterial SSU rRNA". It matches the Rfam family "Bacterial small subunit ribosomal RNA", at positions 8 to 916 of the family's 1533-position model. The record is from RNAcentral.
AGAGUUUGAUCCUGGCUCAGGAUGAACGCUGGCGGCGUGCCUAAUACAUGCAAGUCGAACGAGGUGCUUUUGUAGCAAUACGAAAGUAUCCUAGUGGCGAACGGGUGAGUAACGCGUUGGUGACCUACCCCAAAGUGUGGGAUAACAGUCCGAAAGGAUUGCUAAUACCGCAUGUGGUCUUCGGAUUUAGAAACUGAUGACUAAAGGAGCAAUUCGCUUUGGGAGGGACCUGCGUCCCAUCAGCUAGUUGGUGAGGUAACGGCUCACCAAGGCGACGACGGGUAGGGGACCUGAGAGGGUGGCCCCCCACAAUGGAACUGAAACACGGUCCAUACACCUACGGGUGGCAGCAGUAGGGAAUAUUGCACAAUGGGCGAAAGCCUGAUGCAGCAACGCCGCGUGUGCGAUGAAGGCCUUCGGGUCGUAAAGCACUUUUCUGAGAGAUGAGAAAGGACAGUAUCUCAGGAAUAAGUCUCGGCUAACUACGUGCCAGCAGCCGCGGUAAAACGUAGGAGGCAAGCGUUAUCCGGAUUCACUGGGCGUAAAGCGCGUGCAGGUGGUUCGGUAAGUUAGGCGUGAAAUCUCCCGGCUCAACUGGGAGAGGUCGUCUAAUACUACCGAACUUGAGAGCAGAAGAGGAAGAUGGAAUUCCCGGUGUAGUGGUGAAAUGCGUAGAUAUCGGGAGGAACACCAGUGGCGAAGGCGAUCUUCUGGUCUGUUUCUGACACUCAGACGCGACAGUUAGGGUAGUAAACGGGAUUAGAGACCCCCGGUAGUCCACGCCGUAAACGAUGUCAACUAGCCGUUGGGUCUUUAAAAAGAUUUAGUGGCCGGCUAACGCAAUAAGUUGACCGCCUGGGGAGUACGGCCGCAAGGUUAAAACUCAAAGGAAUUGACGG